GUAGGUUUAAAUUUUUCAUAAGAAGAACAGUUCACAAUUUAAAAUACUAAACCCUUUUUCCUUAAUGGAGUUUUCUCCCUCCUAACUUCAUGUUUGUUCAGUGGAAUUAUGUAAACUAUAAUCAGAUAUACAAAAAUAUAUAAUUGAAUCAGAGUUUCCUGUGUGGAGAUGUUUCAAAACAAAACAAAAGCCUUCAAGUAGUGGUAUCCUGUAAAUACUUCAAAGGGAUUCCCACCAAAAUGUUCCCCCUUGGCUUGUUACAAAUUCAGUGUAUCCUGUGGGCAUGUGCUAACAGAUAUGAGAGAUGGGGACUGGAGUGUCUCUUUUCUUUUUCUUUCCCAUUUAAACCAAAUACCUUCUGGUAACCAUUCCCUAACUAAUCAAAGUUUAAAAUCUAGUUAAUUGAAGAUGUUUAUAUUUUUUGUUCCUAAAAAUUAUACUGACUAUAUUGACACAGCAUGGGUUUUCCCUUGUACCGGGAUUGAAGAUCUACCCCCAAUAGACUGAAGAUCUUGCCACUGUCCUGGUCUGACCAUCUCUUCUACCAGCAGAUAUCAGCUCUUCUCAUCCAAAAGUUGGACCAUUCAGGGAGAACUCAAAGGAAGGAACAGAGCUUAUGUCCUGGGAUUCUUAGGUGUCUCCUCUCUGCAUGAAGUAUUCAACAGAGUGUUGCAAAAGUCUGGAUGUACUAUGGAGCCUCCAAAAUAUUUUUUACUGUAAGUUUUGAAUAUUUUCUGUUAACUCUCUUGCACUAUUUACUGUGGUGUCUAGAAGUAUUUAGUCUAUUUAUGCAAAUUUGACAAUCUGUAAGAGAAUUGUUUUGUUUAGUAGUUUUUAAAGGUUCCAUUUACGGUAGCAUCUGGGCACAGUUUAUAUAGGUAAAAACAAUACCAUACAAUAGCAUCUCCAAAAUGAGAAAAAUAUACUUUGACUAUAUAACAAUGAACCCAGCAGCAGCAGUAGUCUAUGAGGAGAUUCCAAGAACAGCAUUAAUGGAACACUUUGCUUCUCUGGGGUCAGCUUUGGCAUGUAUCUUGUAGGACUGAAUUUCAGGGGUGACAUUCUGCUACUAGGAAUGCCUUGUACCUGCAGACUUUACAAUAGAGAUUUGAUAGCCUAAGCUUUCCUUCCAAAUGCUUUUAUCAUUGGUAGGCACUGGGGGAAGAAGGGAUACCAAUGCUAAUGACCACUAGGAAUCAGGAAGGGAAAUUUCUUUCUGUAUAGCAGUGCAUGGUUGGAUACAUGCAUAAUCACGGUGGGAGUUACUCCCUGUCAAGCUUCGGGGUAGUGCUGGAGGCAGACUAGCAGAGCAAACAAACUUAUUCCUAGAGCUUUAAAAAUUAGUUUAGCAUAAAAUAAACUGGCAGUAAAUCAUGGUUUUAAGAGUUUUGUAUCCAUAGACCACUGACACCACUCAUUUAGUAAUCAGAAAUGUUUGUCCAAAUAAAAAAACUACAUAAUCUCGUAGUAUGUGUAUUCUUGUUCUGGAGCAGACUAAAAAAGGACUUGAUUAGUUGUCACUCUGCCUCUAAUUAUCUUGCAUCUCAGUCAUAUCUCCUGUAUCCUAUUCCAAGCAAAUUGCUUUCGGGUGUGUGUGUGCGCGUGCAAUAUUUAGCUGUUGUAUGGUGCUUUUCAUCUGUAGAGCUUAAAGUGCUUUGCAAAGAAAGAAACUCUCUCUAAUGUAACUGGAGCAAGGUCGUGCAGCAGGUCAGUGUCAGAACUGGAGAUAUUUGGCUCCACGCAUUUAGAAGAUUUGCAGACACACUAGGUAGAGCUUGCAAGUUUCUUGAAUCAGACUCUUUGGUCUGGUCUACACUAUGAGUUUAGGUUGAAUUUAGCAGCGUUAAAUCGAAUUAAC
Long non-coding RNA from Trachemys scripta elegans, 1858 nucleotides. RefSeq lists it as uncharacterized. The record is from RefSeq and is a predicted model, not a curated record. The transcript is spliced from 3 exons. Lineage: Eukaryota; Metazoa; Chordata; Testudines; Emydidae.